This 318-nucleotide long non-coding RNA is filed under the name Daucus carota (carrot). RNAcentral's name for it is "long non-coding RNA (DCAR_LNC003401)". The record is from RNAcentral. Lineage: Eukaryota; Viridiplantae; Streptophyta; Magnoliopsida; Apiales; Apiaceae.
UGAGAGGGUUUGUUACUAGGUGAAAGCAUUGUAAUUUCCUGAAAGUAAUCCGACUAGGAUGAACAUAAAUGAAGACGUAGCGCACAGAUAAAGUAACACACAAACUGAUAAUGCUGGCAGAGCAGCAGAGAUACACAGAAAGCUCAUUUGAGGUGGUGAGUUCCCUUGAUCUUACUGUGCUAUCCCCUAGAGCCUGUGUUCCACUGAGAGAUACACAGAAAGCUCAUUUGAGGUGGUGAGUUCCCUUGAUCUUACUGUGCUAUCCCCUAGAGCCUGUGUUCCACUGAGAGAUACACAGAAAGCUCAUUUGAGGUGGUG